ACCGCCACCACCACCAUGCGUUCAUGGUGUGGGGAGAGAAAACCUUAUUUCUCUCUCUAGAUUUCUCUCUUAUCUCUCCAAAUCUCUCUCUAAUAAUUUGAGGGUUGGUGGAGAGCGAGCUUGCGAACGCAUUGGAGGCGUCGGUUCGGGCUUUCGUGCGGCCGUUGCAACGGUGUGUUUUCGUCGCGGCGUUCACAUUGAGGUAAGCUUUUAGGAUUUGGCUUAAUCCUUAGUUCUAAAUGUUCUAAUAGUCUCUAAUGAGCAUUCUAAACAUGUUUGCUCCAUUUAAUUUGGAUUAUUUGGAGAUUAAUUCAUAUUAGGCUUAUAAAAUGGGGUUUUGUAAAAUAUGAGGGUUUGAUCUCAUUUGACCCUUCGUAAACCAAAUUGCUAGGUAAACGAACGCGUUGGCGAAGACGGUUCGGCGAUUCGUCGAGCCGUUACAAAGUUAUUAAAGAAAUGGACGUUUAGGCUUCGGGUCCGCCGGGAGGGCCGAGGCGACGUCGUAAGAUCAUGGAAAUGGAUUUGAAGUAUCGUGGCACAUAACCGAAGACCUUUAAUUUUCGGAUCGUGAAUUGGAGGCCGUUCGGGUGGUCGCGUGAGAGAUCGGGCCAAAUCGGGUGCCGGGUGCCGCGGGAGGCCGAUUGCAAGUGUCGACAAGCAAUCGGA
This 666-nucleotide long non-coding RNA is filed under the name Ananas comosus (pineapple). RNAcentral describes it as "long non-coding RNA (ACOM_LNC036973)". The record is from RNAcentral. Lineage: Eukaryota; Viridiplantae; Streptophyta; Magnoliopsida; Poales; Bromeliaceae.